AUGAUGGCAAAGUCCGCAGUGACGCCUCUCUGCUGGUUCAACACACACUUACUGAGCUCUAACGCGGGGCGGGGGGGAAGAGGGGGGCUAUCAGAGGCGGCGCUUGCUGCCUCAUUCUUAGAGCAAGCCUGGUUUCACAGCCCCUCCUGCUUCCACAAGGGCUUUUUCCACAGCAACGUGCAGGCCUGUGUCUCCUCUCCUGCCUGUUCACGGGAGCGCAGGAAUCCCACGUGCAGGCCACACCUCCAGGAUUGGAGAUUGCUUUUCAACAUGAGAUUUGGAUGUGGACACAGAUCCAAACUACAUCACCUACCUCAAGAUGGAGUUUCACUCUUGUCGCUCAGGUCUGAGUGCAAUGGUGUGUUCCCGGCUCACUGCAACCUCCGCCUCCCGGGUUCAAGUGAUUCUCCUCCCUCAACCUCCUGAGUAGCUGGGAUUACAGGUGCCCGCCACCAUACCCAGCUAAUUGUUUUGUAUUUUUAAGUAGAGACGUGGUUUCACCAUGUUAGGCAGGCUGCUCUUGAACUCCUGACCGCAGGUGAUCCACCCGCUUCAGCCUCCCAAAGUGCUUGGAUUACAGACAACCUCCCAAAGUGCUGGGAUUAAAGGUGUGACCCACCGGCCCGGUCAGCCUUCAUUUAUCUUACCUAGGUUUUUACUGUUUGGUUUGCUGGUUGAUGUUUUUUUUUAUUUAAUUUUCUUUUAGAGAUGGGGAUCUUGCUACAUUGCCUAGGCAGGUCUUGAACACCUGGGCUCAGGCUUAAGACAUCUCUGUCCUCGGACUCCCAAAGUGCUAAUUACAGGCGUGAUCCUCUGUGCUAGACUGGUUUGCUAGUUUAAAUGACAUGCUUUAACUUUCAGCUUUGACCUGUGCUUAGUUAUUAAGCUUAUUCUUCUAUAUUUCUUCUAUUUCUUCUUUGUUCCCAGUUUUAAGUGUAUUUCUACUUUGUCAGAGAACAUUCAUCAGCUCUUAUUCUUAUAUUUGUUUUGGUCUUAGAUUUAUGUAAUUGAACAUAUUCAAUUCUUAAGAUCUGUUUUCUCGGCCAAAGUUUUUCAAUCAUCUUUUAAUUGGAUGAAACUUGACCCCUAGAAGAAUCCUCAGAAAGAAU
This 1109-nucleotide long non-coding RNA is filed under the name Callithrix jacchus (white-tufted-ear marmoset). RNAcentral describes it as "lncRNA (ENSCJAG00000080628.1)". Lineage: Eukaryota; Metazoa; Chordata; Mammalia; Primates; Cebidae. The record is from RNAcentral.